Daphnia pulex (common water flea) is the source of this 273-nucleotide long non-coding RNA. RefSeq lists it as uncharacterized. The transcript has 3 exons. The record is from RefSeq and is a predicted model, not a curated record. NCBI's taxonomy places the organism in Eukaryota, Metazoa, Arthropoda, Branchiopoda, Diplostraca, Daphniidae.
UCGUUGUUAAUUAAUUAAAGUAAUUUUAAUAAAAUUACAAAAGUGGGGUUUUCGUGUCAACUCUGGUUACUUCUCUUUAUAGAAUCGCUUAAUGCACACUCCAUGCUGUUUGCCAGUUCCCGUGGGUCAUGGACGUUCAGGCCCGUGAAAUUCAGGCUUUUCCUGACUAGGCUUUAUCAUAUUUUAGGCCUUAGCCAGCCAUGAUAACCACAAGAUAUGACAGUUUUGCCUGUGCUGGUAUUUACUUUUCAUCACCAACAAUCUCAGUCUCAU